AAUAAAAGGCAACAUGAAUCUAAGAAGCACCCAGAGUAUUUCCUCUUCCUCUUGAUCUUCUUGUGUUACUGGCAGCUGUAAAACACAUUGACAUCAACAACUGUGCUGGAGUUUGGAGCAGCGAUAUGAAAAUAAUUUAUGUGUAAAUGUGCACAACUAACAUGUUUGCAUAAUUGUGAAUUUCUUUAAAGUGAAAUGAUGAACUCCAGACUCUCAUCUCUGAUCCUGCUGUUACACAUUCAAGUGUCUCUAACAUUGAACAGCUUUACUGUGACCUGUGAUAAACAGAAUAUUUGUGCUGUAAGAGGGACACAGGUGAAAGUGAAGUGCUUUUAUUUCAACAUCAAAACUGGAUUCUGGUUCGGCCAAAAACAGAAAUCAAACUGGAGUAACAAAGAUGAACCUGAAGAUUUGACUUUAGAUUCAGAUUACUCAGGACGAGUGAAACAGUGGAUCACAAACACUGAAUCAGAGCUCAUAAUAGAUGAUCUGAUAGAGAGAGACAGUGGAGAAUAUCAGCUCAUGAUCAUUAUGAAGGAUGGAGUUAAACAUCUCAGCUCAGUCACAGUCAAUCUAACAGUCACAGGUACAUUUACAUUCUCAUCAGUCCAGUUCAACUCUUUUCAUUUCUCAUCUAAUGUAAGGUUUUGAUUAUUUAGU
Paramisgurnus dabryanus is the source of this 660-nucleotide non-coding RNA. The record is from RefSeq and is a predicted model, not a curated record. NCBI's taxonomy places the organism in Eukaryota, Metazoa, Chordata, Actinopteri, Cypriniformes, Cobitidae.